ACGCACGCUGGCGGCGUGCCUAAUACAUGCAAGUAGAACGCUGAAGGAAGGAGCUUGCUCUUUCUGGAUGAGUUGCGAACGGGUGAGUAACGCGUAGGUAACCUGCCUGGUAGCGGGGGAUAACUAUUGGAAACGAUAGCUAAUACCGCAUAAAAUUGAUUAUUGCAUGAUAGUCAAUUAAAAGGUGCAACUGCACCACUACCAGAUGGACCUGCGUUGUAUUAGCUAGUUGGUGGGGUAACGGCUCACCAAGGCGACGAUACAUAGCCGACCUGAGAGGGUGAUCGGCCACACUGGGACUGAGACACGGCCCAGACUCCUACGGGAGGCAGCAGUAGGGAAUCUUCGGCAAUGGACGGAAGUCUGACCGAGCAACGCCGCGUGAGUGAAGAAGGUUGUCGGAUCGUAAAGCUCUGUUGUAAGAGAAGAACGAGUGUGAGAGUGGAAAGUUCACACUGUGACGGUAUCUUACCAGAAAGGGACGGCUAACUACGUG
Molecule: ribosomal RNA, 496 nt
Filed under: uncultured bacterium
Lineage: Bacteria
Description: partial 16S ribosomal RNA
Rfam family: Bacterial small subunit ribosomal RNA
Source: RNAcentral